Non-coding RNA from Leptonychotes weddellii (Weddell seal), 1145 nucleotides. NCBI's taxonomy places the organism in Eukaryota, Metazoa, Chordata, Mammalia, Carnivora, Phocidae. The record is from RefSeq and is a predicted model, not a curated record.
GGGCCCGGAAGUACAUUUUACCUUUGGCGGGGAGAACUGCGAAUGCACAUCAUAAAAGGGGUGGAUUCAGAGACAGAUGAUGAACUGGGGCCAAUGCGUGCAUCUAGCACAGUAUCGGAGGGACAUCUGCAAGCAAUUCAACAGUUUGCAGGAGCGCUGCACGGGCCAUGCGGUGGGAAGGAGAAGGCACUGCGGAGACGGGGAAAAUGUGACAGCUGGAACCUCAGGUGCCGAGCGAGGAGCCUGGUCUUCCCCUGUGGGCACUAGGGGGCCUGCAUUGGUCCACGCAGGCUGCUAUACCAACAUACCACCGUCUGCGGGCUUCAACGAUAGACAUUUCUUUCUCACAGUUCUGGAAGCUGGGAAGUCUAAGAUAAACAGAUUCAGUUCCUGGGGCCCUAAUCCCAUGAGGAGAAGCCCCACCCUGGUGACCUCUAAACCCAAUCCCCUCCCAGAAUCUUCAUCCACAAAUACCAGCACAUUGGGGAUUAAGGCUUCAACAUAUGAAUUUGGCGGGCACAAUCCAAAUCACAGCAGAACCUGUAAAGAGUUUCAAGCUUCAGUGUGACAUGACCAGGUUUGAACCAGCCUGUGGUCAUAAGAAAAAACAGGAAGACAGCAGACCCAGUUUUGAGAAAUACAUUAGCAGUGAAAGCAGGACAUGGUGACUGGUGGGGUGCGGGAGAUCAGGUGAUGUGAGCGGUCAGGGCAGACCUCCCGGGUUUCAACCGGGGACUGUGGGCACCAAACCCCUCCUGAGACUUCAGGAGCUGCUGAUGUGAGGAGGAGGAGCAAGAAUGCCCGGGCAUCACAAACAUCCUUCUGGGGAGCCAAACUGUUGGAAGGGGAGGGCACCGGGCAGGGCCCUCAGGGUCCCAAAUGUGCCCAGCCCCCAUGGGCACUCAGGAAGUGCGUAGUUGAUGGAGAUUGGCCUGGGCAUUUGAAUCUGGAUUCCAGGGAGAACCCUGGCCUGGAGACACAGUUUGGGGGGCGAGGGGGGUCAUCCAGAUCCAGGUGGUCACAUGACACCUGGGGAUCAACUUCUCUGUGAUAUUCCUUCAUGGUCUGGUUGAUCAUGAUGGCCAUUAUGCUGGUUGCUGUUUUCUUUUUCUUUUUUUUUAAGUAAGCUCCACGCUGGGCUUGAA